RNAcentral lists this ribosomal RNA (599 nucleotides) under Oebalus ypsilongriseus. RNAcentral's name for it is "SSU rRNA". It matches the Rfam family "Eukaryotic small subunit ribosomal RNA", at positions 43 to 629 of the family's 1831-position model. Lineage: Eukaryota; Metazoa; Arthropoda; Insecta; Hemiptera; Pentatomidae. The record is from RNAcentral.
AGCUAGCCAUGCAGUCUCAGUACGAGCUCAAUUAAAGUGAAACCGCAAAAGGCUCAGUAAACCGGUCAUAGUUUACCGGAUAUAUGCCACAUUACGUGGAUAACUGUGGUAAUUCUAGAGCUAAUACAUGCAACUAAGUCCCGACCAGCGAUGGAACGGACGCUUUUAUUGGAUCAAAACCAUUCGCCCGUCUCGCACGGGCGUCUGCUUGAUGACUCUAGAUAACCACAACAAGAUCGCACGGUCUCAGUACCGGCGACGUAUCCGUCAAAUGUCUGACUUAUCAGCUGUCGAUGGUAGACUCUGUGUCUACCAUGGCGCUCACGGGUAACGGGGAAUCAGGGUUCGAUUCCGGAGAGGGAGCCUGAGAAACGGCUACCACAUCCAAGGAAGGCAGCAGGCACGCAAAUUACCCACUCCCGGCACGGGGAGGUAGUGACAAAAAAUAACGAUACGGGACUCAUCCGAGGCCCCGUAAUCGGAAUGAGAACACCCUAAAUCCUUUAACGAGGAUCUAUUGGAGGGCAAGUCUGGUGCCAGCAGCCGCGGUAAUUCCAGCUCCAAUAGCGUAUAUUAAAGUUGUUGCGGUUAAAAAGCUC